RNAcentral lists this long non-coding RNA (238 nucleotides) under Gallus gallus (chicken). Lineage: Eukaryota; Metazoa; Chordata; Aves; Galliformes; Phasianidae. The record is from RNAcentral.
CUCUGAGCAAGCCAUGCCAGAGUGCAGCAUUUGGCCCUGAAGAUGGAGCUGCUGACAAGCUGGAAUUCAACCAUGAUCAAAUGUACGGGUGGCAGAUCUACUGAGGAGGUAUAACACACACACAGCAGGACCUAAUCAAGCUGCAAAGUAACCUGAAGAGAUUAGAGCAGUAGGAGCUAUAGGCAACAGAAGAGAAUCCAGGAGCAAUGCCAGUCCCACACCACUGAGUGAAUAAAUC